This 477-nucleotide unclassified non-coding RNA is filed under the name Hevea brasiliensis (rubber tree). The record is from RNAcentral. Lineage: Eukaryota; Viridiplantae; Streptophyta; Magnoliopsida; Malpighiales; Euphorbiaceae.
AAUUCCCAAGCAAAUUGCAGAUUGUUGCUUUCUUUUGCAAUCGCUACAAAAGCUUUUGCAAGAUUAAUUUGGUCACUGAGUUGCCUGGUGACUGAGUUAGGGCUAAGCAUUUCAUCAGUAAUGUUUAGGCCUUCCAUAAUCCUAUCAUGAUAGAAAGGUUUCUUCGCAUGGCUGUUCAAUCUGACUCUCUUUACUGAAAAUGAUUAUAAAGAACAAGACCACUAAACCACAAAUUGUCCACCACACCACAUUCGAAAGCCGCCUCCUUACCGGCCUUCGAAAGUCCAUUGGUCUCCGCCUCAUUCUCCAAUCUCAAACAGUCAAGAUUCCAGCUUUCUGUUUGUUUCCAGGGAAAGUUCAAAACUUUCCAGUAAAGUGAAACACAACUGAGGUUUUACCUAGCACAGAUCAAAUGAAAGUCGGAAUCGGGAUUCAUAUUCAAGCUAGGGUUUUUCUAGAUUUGGAAGCAUAUUAGAU